UAUUUAUUUUAUUUUCCCCGCAAGUGCAAGGUCUGCUUUUUUGUCUGUUGAUUGCAACAGAAAUUGACCAACCAGCUUGUUGCCUGAGCCUGAUGUUGUGGGCUGAGAGAGGGGGACUGGCCCAAAGUCACUCAGCUGGCUUUCAUGCCCAAGGCAGGACUAGAACUCACAGUCUCCUGGUUUCUAGCCUGGAGCCUUAACCACUAGACCAAACGGUUGUUUUUAUUAUUAUUUAUUAAAUUUGUACACUGCCCAAUUCCCAAUUAUUCUGGGCAGUUCACCAGUAGACAUCAUGAAAAGGAAUCUGUUCUGUUGUGGAUCUAUAUGUUACUGCUGGGUUCUGUUGUUCCUACUCUUCCCAACGUGGCUUGCUUUAUCUCUCUCAAGGUUCCUCUGAAAUAGAACAAAAGAAUUCUACAAAAGCAUGUGAUAGAAAAUGCUGCCAGAAAGUUUUUUAACCAUUUCCUGUUACUUAAGACAAAAAAGAAAAAAAAAUCAAGAGGUGCAUUUCUUGCUGAGAGCAUGCCAAACAGUGGAAAAUUACAGACUUAGAAUCUGUAGGCCCUCAAUAAUUUGACAUAUAUUUGAAGAAAUGUGUGCUGAAAGUUUAUUCUUUGUCUUCUACAGAUCAAGCAUACUAAGCCAGUAAUCUGUAGCAAAUAAGAUCUGAUGAAUGCUGCUUCAGAAGACUAUUUUUGCUCUUGGGACUUCUGAGUCAACUGCUUGUGCUGUUUCUGCUUAUUGGGGAGCACCGCUUUCGAAUUUUUAAAGCACUGCAUGUUCAGUUUUUCAGUAGAAGAUCAAAGAUAGCCUUAGAAAUUUGAGUCAUCAUGUACUUACAUCAAUUUUCAUACAUUUAAAUUUGAAUGCUUAAAAAUGUCUCCCCUUCUGUUCUACUGUUAAAUUUUCUGGAAGCUUUAGCUUCUUGCUUGUCCUUGCAAAAAUAAUGGGUUUUUACAUUUUAAUUUUAAAAAAUGAUAGUUAAAUUUUCCUUUUAUAAAAUACUGCAAGGCAUGCCAAUACAGUUUGCAAGUCUUAGUAAAAGACGAUAAGUCUUCUACUAGUAAGUCUUUAUUAGUAAGACUAGUAAAGUGGUUUUGUAGCCUUCUACUAAUGUACAGAUAAUCCUCCAAUAAAGGCCUUCUAACAGUA
Long non-coding RNA from Candoia aspera, 1152 nucleotides. RefSeq lists it as uncharacterized. The record is from RefSeq and is a predicted model, not a curated record. The transcript has 2 exons. NCBI's taxonomy places the organism in Eukaryota, Metazoa, Chordata, Lepidosauria, Squamata, Candoiidae.